This is a long non-coding RNA of Numida meleagris (helmeted guineafowl), 311 nucleotides long. RefSeq lists it as uncharacterized. NCBI's taxonomy places the organism in Eukaryota, Metazoa, Chordata, Aves, Galliformes, Numididae. The record is from RefSeq and is a predicted model, not a curated record. The transcript has 2 exons.
UAGAAGGGGAAGAGGCUGGCGGGUGGGGCGGGGGCAGCGCAGGAUUUAAAGGGGCCGCGGCCCUCCCAGGAGAGGGGGCUGGGUAGGAGGCUCAAGGGCGGAUAUGGGGGCCCUGGGUCAGUCCAGAGGCAGCAUGCGGAGCGUACAGAGUCCCUAAGCGCACGCUGCAGACCCAGGCUGUCGGGUGCCACUGUUGAGGUCUGCAGAUAACAUCAGGGAGGGGACUGGAGAAAUGGAGGCUGCUGUUUCAGGAGAACUUCAGGGUUUAUUUUGGCACCCAUCCCGUAAGCUUUCACCUGGCUACUCAUUAA